This 203-nucleotide ribosomal RNA is filed under the name uncultured bacterium. RNAcentral describes it as "partial 16S ribosomal RNA". It matches the Rfam family "Bacterial small subunit ribosomal RNA", at positions 129 to 334 of the family's 1533-position model. The record is from RNAcentral.
CCUGAUGGAGGGGGAUAACUACUGGAAACGGUAGCUAAUACCGCAUAACGUCGCAAGACCAAAGAGGGGGACCUUCGGGCCUCUUGCCAUCGGAUGUGCCCAGAUGGGAUUAGCUAGUAGGUGGGGUAACGGCUCACCUAGGCGACGAUCCCUAGCUGGUCUGAGAGGAUGACCAGCCACACUGGAACUGAGACACGGUCCAG